Molecule: ribosomal RNA, 463 nt
Filed under: uncultured bacterium
Lineage: Bacteria
Description: partial 16S ribosomal RNA
Rfam family: Bacterial small subunit ribosomal RNA
Source: RNAcentral
CUACGGGAGCACCAGUGGGGAAUAUUGCACAAUGGGCGCAAGCCUGAUGCAGCCAUGCCGCGUGUAUGAAGAAGGCCUUCGGGUUGUAAAGUACUUUCAGCGGGGAGGAAGGGAGUAAAGUUAAUACCUUUGCUCAUUGACGUUACCCGCAGAAGAAGCACCGGCUAACUCCGUGCCAGCAGCCGCGGUAAUACGGAGGGUGCAAGCGUUAAUCGGAAUUACUGGGCGUAAAGCGCACGCAGGCGGUUUGUUAGGUCAGAUGUGAAAUCCCCGGGCUCAACCGGGGAACUGCAUCUGAUACUGGCAAGCUUGAGUCUCGUAGAGGGGGGUAGAAUUCCAGGUGUAGCGGUGAAAUGCGUAGAGAUCUGGAGGAAUACCGGUGGCGAAGGCGGCCCCCUGGACGAAGACUGACGCUCAGGUGCGAAAGCGUGGGGAGCAAACAGGAUUAGAUACCCUUGUAGUC